RNAcentral lists this long non-coding RNA (343 nucleotides) under Pogona vitticeps (central bearded dragon). RNAcentral's name for it is "lncRNA (ENSPVIG00000011132.1)". Lineage: Eukaryota; Metazoa; Chordata; Lepidosauria; Squamata; Agamidae. The record is from RNAcentral.
CAGCAAAGGAGCCGGGGCUGGCUGCUGGUGGUGGGAAGGCAGAGGCAGAAGAAUUAGCUAAACAAAAGAAAUCAUGGCGGAGCGCUUGCUUAUUUGAUGCCCUGAAAGGCUGUGUGGAUUAUGGACUUCAAAACCUAUCCCAAGAGGUGGCCAGAAACGUCGCCACGGCCCGGAAGAAAAACUUGUUUCUGAAAAAUUGAAUCGCAGCUGUAGUAGCAGAUAAGACUGACAUUCGGUUCUUAGAAAGAAGCAAUCAAUGUUGAAUGUAUCAGGUGAGUUCAUUUCUCUUGCUCUGCUUUAAUAGCUUAUAAAGAAGAUUGAUUAGGUUCUUGUCUGACAGAUC